This 261-nucleotide ribosomal RNA is filed under the name uncultured archaeon. Its description in RNAcentral is "partial 16S ribosomal RNA". It matches the Rfam family "Archaeal small subunit ribosomal RNA", at positions 748 to 1009 of the family's 1478-position model. The record is from RNAcentral.
CAGCCCUAAACGAUGCGCGUUAGGUGUAUCGGUGACCACGAGUCACCGAGGUGCCGAAGGGAAACCGUGAAACGUGCCGCCUGGGAAGUACGGUCGCAAGGCUGAAACUUAAAGGAAUUGGCGGGGGAGCACCACGACGGGUGGAGCCUGCGGUUUAAUUGGACUCAACGCCGGGAAGCUCACCGGAUAAGACAGCGGAAUGAUUGCUGGGCUGAAGACCCUGCAUGACCAGCUGAGAGGAGGUGCAUGGCGUAGUCGUGU